This 4789-nucleotide long non-coding RNA is filed under the name Nicotiana tabacum (common tobacco). RNAcentral's name for it is "long non-coding RNA (NTAB_LNC018126)". Lineage: Eukaryota; Viridiplantae; Streptophyta; Magnoliopsida; Solanales; Solanaceae. The record is from RNAcentral.
UUUUUUUUUAUGUCGGAGCUCAUCAACAAAUUCUUUUAGCAAAUAUUUUCAUACUAGAAAUUAAACCAUUCUUAAAAUUAAUUAGAUAUAAAACAAUACAAAUUACUAACUCAAUCAUGUUACUAUAUUAGCCAUAUAUUAAAACAUAUAAACUCUACUAGAACCUAGCUUAAUUAUAAUCUAGUCUAAAAUUCACGUUUAUACUGUUUGUUUCUUUUCGUCAUGUUUAUACCAUUUGCUCAAAAUAAAUAUUGAUGUCAAAUUGACACGUAAAGUUGCCGUUUUUUCACAUUAAAUUUUAGGAAUUAAUGAUAACUGUUAAGUAUGCUUCCUCUAAUCAGAAAAGUUAAAUCAAAUCUCUUAAGAGAUCUGUCUGUCUAUCUUAAACGGCCCCUCUUUGAAAAUACAGCACACAGGAGAAACCUUUGUAUAAGGACUAUAGAAAGAAGAGGAAUUUCAAAAAUCACAAUAAUUUAGAUGCUAAUAAUUAUAAUUUGCCUAAUUACCAUUUGUAGCUAUUGUUCAAUUGUUAAUGACUUAUAUCACUUGUAUUCAAACGUGCAAUAAAUACAACAUGUGUCAUCUAUAUUCGUCCGCGCAACGAAUAAUCUGUAUCAACUGUAUUCGUUCACGCAACUGUAUUCAUUCGUGCAACGAAUACAAUAUAUUUCAACUAUAACCAAGAGAAAAUACAAGGGUGUAUAUAAAGGAUGCAACUUGUAUGAACUGUAUAUAGGGGCAUAUACAAAUGAUAUAAUUUGUAUCGACUAUAUUUGUUCGUGCAACGAAUACAAUUAAGGCAAAAUACAAAAAAAAAAAUAUAUAUUCUUGUUGAAAUUCAAAUUCUUACCUUCAUUAGCUAAGCAUGUACUCUAACCAACUGAGUUAUGAGAGCUUGUUGGUCUCUUAUUUCAGUUCAAAAUAAUUAAUCUCUUAUUGCUACAAAAUUCAAAUAUACGAAUGGUAAAUUUACUGAAAGUAUAGCUACGAAUGAUAAAUACAGUGUAAAUAUUUGAUGUGUCAGGUAAUUUUCGUAAGAAAGAAGCAUAUCAGUAAUUUAUUUGCUUUUAUUUCCAAUGACAAGACCGAAGUAAUGGUCUUGAUUAAAAAAAAAUAUUAUGAUCUUGGUUCUUGCAUAAAAAUUCAUUUCAUUGUCUAAAUGAGAGUUUGUUUUUGGCGUGGAGUUGUCGCUCAAUUCAACAAUAAUUUAACUGUUGAUAUGUUGCUUUGACAAAUAUAAUGUACUUAAGCUACUGAGGCAUAUAUUUUUCUUUCCAAUUCAAUUACAAACAACUGGAUCCUUGACUAAUCAUUAAUUCUGGAAAAAGAUUUUAGAGAACAAACUUACUGUUAAAUAUAUGUACUUACGAAAAGAUUAGUUUUAAAAAAAUUAAUUGAUUGACAAAUAUAUUGUACUUAAAGCUGUUUUUCAACCAAAUAACAAGAUUGGAAUUUAUUUUAUAUUCUUUUCUUGUAUUUUUUUCGUAUUGCUACCUAGCGUUUGCACUUUAAAUUGGGCUAUUACUAUCACAUGGGAAACUACCAACUACGUUCAUUUUUAAUAGCUUAUUAUAAAAAUUGGCCAAGUCAUAAUAUAUUACUAAUUUUAGCUAAAUAUUACUAAUAUUAGCUAAUUAACUAUUUGUAGCCAAAAAGGAUCAAAUUUUUGCUUUCUUUUGAGUGAGUGUUAUUAGAAUAGAUUGGGUACAUCUUAAGGAACUUGAAUCUCAGUUUUGGGAUGAUUUGGUGAAGCUUUGAGGUGGAUAGAAUUGAAAAUUCGAAGUAAAAGAUGAACAUGAAAAAAAAUAGUAUGUGUAUCAUUUGUGUAUCCCAUAUGUAUCAUUGUAUCAAACGUGUAUCACAUGCAUACCUGUGUGUGAGAUACAUGUUUGAUACAUGUGUCGCACAAGAAAUUUUUGAACUCGAUUUUAACUACGAAUUUUGAUACCAAAUCAAUCCAAAUCACCUCCAAUCCUCCUCAAAUUUUGUAUAUUAACUCAUCUAUAUGUUUUCAAUGAAUUUCAAUCAUACCCAUUGAAAAUGUUCUUUUUUUUUCUUAGAUUUUUGGAAUCUUGUAUAUUUUUUUUGUUUGUAUUUUAUCAUCUUAUUUGCUAUCUCAUCCAUGAAAUUUCCUUUCCGUCUUGUAUCUAAUGUUGUUGAUCAUGCUUAAAAAUAUGGAAUGAAAUCUUUGCGUGUAAUUCUUGGAGAAAAAUAACCUUAUUUAUUUGGAUUUUUAAUUUUUAUAUGUACUUGGCUAAUUUUAGUAAAUUUAUAAUUAAUGGUAAAGGUUGGUAAAUUGAGAAUUAUUUGGGACAUUUACGUAAGAUUCCCUUUAACAUAUGCAACUUUUAGCUUAUUUUAUGUGUUUAGUAAACAUCAAACUUACUUAUAAGUCAAAAUAAAGUAAAGUCACAAGUUGAUCAACCCCAUUUAUGACUGAUAGAGAAAAAGGAAAUUCAAUUUUUUCGCAACAAAAAACGCGAUUUUUUUGGUUGUAUUUUAUACUGCUACGGGCAACUACUCCAUGCCAUUUUAUAUUACACCAUGUGAAUAGGCACUUUUUGAAUCAAUUUGGAAUUAAAAAUCUUGCGAUAAUCAACUCUUUCUUAGUGUAAUACGCUUUAAGAGCAUUUUAGUGAUUUAAUUGAAGAAAGCGUAGGAUCAGCUUCUACAUUUCAAGUUCACUAGUUUUAGGAAUUUUAGUUCCAAUAAAUAAAUUAUUUUUAAAUUUUCAUAAGGUCAAAUCUUAAUUGAUCUUAGAGUAUUAAAUAUUAGGACUUCCUACAUAGUUCAAAUAAAAAAAAUUAUAAUUAAAAUUUUAGUUAAUUGCAAAAUCUUAAAAUUUUAAGAAAAAUAAUUUAAUACAGUUUUGUCCAAUAUAAGAACUAUUAAGAGCAGCUAAAAACGAAAAAAAAGGUCCAAUAAGAGCACGAAAAAAUAGUAGAGAAAUAUAACUUGACUAAAGGUUAAAGCAUACAGUCUAAUACAAAAAGGAUUCUAUUCAACCAAGCUUUACAAUCCAAAACAUCAAAAUAAGAUGUAUUGGUUAAACACGUGCAUGCAAAAUUCAACUGCUAAUACAAAUACAUGAAUGCAAAAUUCAACUGCUAAUAAAAAAAUUGCUCAAAGAAAGAGAACCCGAAACCCUUAAUUUUGUAGUUGUUGCUCGAAUAAGGCAAAAUUAUGAUGAUGAAAAGGUGAAAUUGUAACUUCUUUUAUAGAAUUACAUGCGUAUAUAAAAUUGGGUGAAACUUUUAUUAGAAAAAAGACUCUAAUAAGUUCUCAAAGAGUUCGUCCUCAUCUAAUAUAGUUAUAAAAAAUUCAAUGUCAAAAAUUUAUAUCAAAACAUUCCUAGUGUGUGCAUGAAUUAGUCAAAACUUAACAACUUUCCAAGUUUAAAAUUUUAAUACUCCUAAAUUUAAAUAUAGUUGAAAGUAUCAAAAGUUUCCAAGUAUGUGAAUUAGUUAAAAUUUUAUUAACUAAAGGAAAACUGAAACCUUUCUAUUGUGUGUAAAUUGGACAAAUUUUUAUUAUCUAAAAAAGAUCUCCUAAAUUAGAAAGAAAAUUUUGAUAAUACUCCUAAAUAUGGAGUUGGACGAAAACUUCCUAUUGUAUAGAGAACGAAAAUAUUUCCUAGUAUGUGUGUCAAUAUUAUUAUAAGUAUUAAAAGAGUAAUUAAAUAAUUGUUCCUAAAUAGUAGGAAAUUAAUUAAAUGACUAUUUUUAAAUAUUAAAUAAAUAAUCAAAUGACUAUUUUGUCUAAUGUGAACUCUAUUUUAAAAAGGGUAAAAAAAAGGCGAACGACAUUUCGCUAAGGGCCUUCGUGCUUUUAAUAUAGUAUUAACUACCGUCAAUAAGUUAAGUCAAACAGACUCUAUAUAGCCACUAAUAGAUGAGUGCACGCACGACGGGUGAAAUUAAAAAAUAGCCAGAUUUAGAAGUGGUAAUUGAAAAAUAGCCACACUUUCAAAAGUAAACGAAAUUCAGCUACUUUUCAUGUAAAGAUAAAUCUGAACAAAAACACUGUUCAAAAUCCGAAAAAUAUUCUAGCAUGGAGUUCGAAUUUUUUACAAGUGAACUUCCAGCAUAACAUGCUGGAAUUUCAUAAUAUGCUGGAGUUCCAACAUAAUAUGCUCGAAGUUCAUAUACAGGUGCUCCAAUCUCCAAUAUAUUAUGUUGGAAUUUUCCAUGUACUGGAAUUCCAGUAUAAUAUGCUGGAAGUCAAUACACAGGUGCUCCAAUCUCCAGUAUAUUAUGCUGGAAAAAAUAGUGGCUAUUUUUCAAUUACCAGUCCGAAAACUGGCUAGCUCCUGCUAUUUUAACGCAAGAUGGUAAAUGUGCAAGAUAAAUUGGAGCAAAGAGUAUUAAAAAGAGAAAACAAAGACAGUCAAAACUGAAUCAUAUUCAUUCCUACAAAUCAAUAAUUCUCCGGAAUUAGCAUUGAUAAGCUGUAUUUGAGAAAAUCGGGUGCUUGAUAAUAGAAUUCAAUAAACCAUCUUAAAUGUAUAAGAAUGAAAAAUUACAAAAAUAAUACUCUGGUGCGUAAUAUACAAACAAUAAAAAUGAGCAAAGACCAUGCUCAUCCGAGUCGCGAAAACAGCCUCUUGCAGAAAUGCAGGAUAAGGCUGUGUUAGACCCUUGUGGUCCGUCCCUUUUCCGGACCCCUCGUAUAGAGCUUAGUACACCGGGCUGUCUUUUUUUAAAAAAAAAAAUGACAGUGCUCAUCCGACUCUAUCAAAAAGACCAGCAUAAUACCUGAUUCAUCUCGUCAACCAGUAAAUCAAAAUGAG